Molecule: ribosomal RNA, 475 nt
Filed under: uncultured organism
Description: partial 16S ribosomal RNA
Rfam family: Bacterial small subunit ribosomal RNA
Source: RNAcentral
GUACACUCCUGCGGGAGGCAGCAGUGGGGAAUUUUGGACAAUGGGCGAAAGCCUGAUCCAGCCAUGCCGCGUGCAGGAUGAAGGCCUUCGGGUUUUAAACUGCUUUUGUACGGAACGAAACGGCCUUUUCUAAUAAAGAGGGCUAAUGACGGUACCGUAAGAAUAAGCACCGGCUAACUACGUGCCAGCAGCCGCGGUAAUAAGUAGGGUGCAAGCGUGAAUCGGAAUUACUGGGCGUAAAGCGUGCGCAGGCGGUUAUGUAAGACAGUUGUGAAAUCCCCGGGCUCAACCUGGGAACUGCAUCUGUGACUGCAUAGCUAGAGUACGAUAGAGGGGGAUGGAAUUCCGCGUGUAGCAGUGAAAUGCGUAGAUAUGCGGAGGAACACCGAUGGCGAAGGCAAUCCCCUGGACCUGUACUGACGCUCAUGCACGAAAGCGUGGGGAGCAAACAGGAAUAGAAACCCGGGUAGUCCCA